This 23-nucleotide non-coding RNA is filed under the name Drosophila melanogaster (fruit fly). The record is from RNAcentral. Lineage: Eukaryota; Metazoa; Arthropoda; Insecta; Diptera; Drosophilidae.
UAACGAGAGUAGUGAAGAGGAAG